UCUGUUUUGUUGAACUGUUCAUUGAUAGGGACUUGAGUGCAAAACUGUUCAUGACAACUGCAGUCAUAAAGUUAUCAUGGCGAUUGUAACCAUAAAUGCAUUACUGUAAGUGUCCAGAGCCAUCUUCCAAGUGUGACUUUCGACUGUCCAUAUGGGGCCAUCCUCCACAGGAGCGAUGUGAUGAGACUCCAGCCAGACGCAGGGCAUCAGGAUGGAUCAGGCAGGUCUGAGGAGCAGAAGAGCCCUGUUGCCUACAAAAUCAAAGACAAUUGCCAUCGAACCCUGCAACAUCACGUUCUCUGAAAGCCUCAAGGCACCAGGAAGACAUUCAUCAAGAUUCUUCUCUGUACUGACCCAGGUGGUGAAAUGAACUUCCCCUGGCUGUCUGAACAGCUAAGGCACAGUCUUCAAAGACUGAAGACCUAUCUCUUCACCAAGCGCUUCAAUAAGCACUCAUUUAAAUGAAUGAACGAAUGAAUAAAUGAAUGAAUGAA
Neoarius graeffei (lesser salmon catfish) is the source of this 494-nucleotide long non-coding RNA. RefSeq lists it as uncharacterized. The record is from RefSeq and is a predicted model, not a curated record. Lineage: Eukaryota; Metazoa; Chordata; Actinopteri; Siluriformes; Ariidae. The transcript is spliced from 2 exons.